ACUCCUACGGGAGGCAGCAGUGGGGAAUAUUGCACAAUGGGCGCAAGCCUGAUGCAGCCAUGCCGCGUGUAUGAAGAAGGCCUUCGGGUUGUAAAGUACUUUCAGCAGUGAGGAAGGUGGGUGUGUUAAUAGCGCAUACUUCAUUGACUGUAGCUGCAGAAGAAGCACCGGCUAACUCCGUGCCAGCAGCCGCGGUAAUACGGAGGGUGCGAGCGUUAAUCGGAAUUACUGGGCGUAAAGCGCAUGCAGGUGGUUUGUUAAGUCAGAUGUGAAAGCCCGGGGCUCAACCUCGGAAUUGCAUUGAACUUGGACAA
RNAcentral lists this ribosomal RNA (314 nucleotides) under uncultured bacterium. RNAcentral describes it as "bacterial SSU rRNA". It matches the Rfam family "Bacterial small subunit ribosomal RNA", at positions 335 to 639 of the family's 1533-position model. The record is from RNAcentral.